AGGGAGGCCCCUGUCCAGGUCCCUGUGCCAGCUGGGACUUCAACGUUCUGACCAGCGACCUAAACUGAUGGUUAAUCUCCCCCAGAAGACCUGGCCAGGACCCAGCCUCACUCCCCUUCUACUUCAAAGGCCACCUGAGUCCUAUCGCCCAGACUACCCACCAUCACCCCCCACCCUUUCCCACCUUCUCACAGGACCCUAGCCGCCCCCCCCCCCCGCCUCCCCCUUCCGACACAGGCUCCGCCCCUCCUCUCGCUCCCGCCCCCUCCGCAUGUCCUGCGCAGGCCCGCCCCUCUGUUCGGCCCCGCCCCCUCUGCCGGGUCCUGUGCAGGCUGGCCCGAUGGCUCCCGGUGACCCGCCGGACAUGGUGAACCUGGGCCUGUCCCGGGUGGACGACGCCGUGUCCGCCAAGCACCCGGGACUCCGGGAGUAUGCCGCGUGCCAGUCGAGCGCCUUCGUGAAGGGCAUUUUCACCUUUGUCACAGGUAGGCUGGGUCCC
Long non-coding RNA from Herpailurus yagouaroundi (jaguarundi), 499 nucleotides. RefSeq lists it as uncharacterized. The record is from RefSeq and is a predicted model, not a curated record. NCBI's taxonomy places the organism in Eukaryota, Metazoa, Chordata, Mammalia, Carnivora, Felidae. The transcript has 3 exons.